GGAGGGUAGUAACAGAGAGAAUGCUAAUUUGUUACGAGAAGGUGAUUUAUCUUGUUUCCAAUACAAUGUUGAUGUAAUUGGAACAGCGAAGACUUCGUUCCUUGAUUCGGAUUAUGACAAGCUGGUUUGGUAUGUGCUAAGCAAUUGUGAAGAGGUUGAGCCAUAUAUCGUGUACGUAAUCUGUCAUGCAAAUGAUUGUACUGCUAUUAUUUCAGUCCAAUUUUC
RNAcentral lists this long non-coding RNA (225 nucleotides) under Setaria viridis. RNAcentral describes it as "long non-coding RNA (SVIR_LNC003369)". Lineage: Eukaryota; Viridiplantae; Streptophyta; Magnoliopsida; Poales; Poaceae. The record is from RNAcentral.